Molecule: long non-coding RNA, 626 nt
Organism: Lynx canadensis (Canada lynx)
Lineage: Eukaryota; Metazoa; Chordata; Mammalia; Carnivora; Felidae
Exons: 2
Source: RefSeq, a predicted model, not a curated record
CUCGGGGGGGCUCUGCAGUUUCUCCGUCCUCGCCCAGCCCGGAAAAAAACUGGACGGCCGAGAAGGAAAAGAGGAAACGUCUUCUGUAGGGCCCUUCGCACUGCUGCAGCGGGUCUGGUGGGAAAUCUUAAUGAUGGAAAGACGUUGGUGAAGGAAGCCCAGGAAAGGCUAACUAGGAUUCUCUACUUCCACCUCCAGGAAAAUAGAUACAUAUUUAAGAGAAAAAGACACUGGCUUGAAGUAACUUAGCUGUUACCAUAGAGAACAAGAAAAUAACAAAUUUCACAUCAUGUGAAAGGAAAGUCAAGCGUGAUAAUUAUUCAGAAUAAACCACUCAAAAGGCUCUUCAGUAGAAUAAAGAAGAAUCGUUGUCCCAAAGGAAGCUACUGUUUUGACAUUUCACUGGGAAGAGAUCCAAAAAUUGAGACUAGGAGUAUAGCCCUUGCUUUUCUUCUGGAAGACUUCAUGUGAUAAUUCAGAGAAGCUGAUGUUUGUAAUUCUAGUUACCUUCAGAUGAUAAUCAAAUCAAACAAAUCAAACAAAACCAAUGGAUGCAUGUAUAGAGGAGACUGACACUGCAAUAAUUUCUAUCUUUUUAAUAAAUGACUUGAUACAUUUUCUUUUUA